RNAcentral lists this ribosomal RNA (433 nucleotides) under uncultured bacterium. Its description in RNAcentral is "partial 16S ribosomal RNA". It matches the Rfam family "Bacterial small subunit ribosomal RNA", at positions 29 to 506 of the family's 1533-position model. The record is from RNAcentral.
AGCGAACGCUGGCGGCAGGCCUAACACAUGCAAGUCGAACGAACCUUUCGGGGUUAGUGGCGGACGGGUGAGUAACACGUGGGAACGUGCCUUUAGGUUCGGAAUAACUCAGGGAAACUUGUGCUAAUACCGAAUGUGCCCUUCGGGGGAAAGAUUAAUCGCCUUUAGAGCGGCCCGCGUCUGAUUAGCUAGUUGGUUGAGGUAAUGGCUCACCAAGGCGAGGAUCAGUAGCUGGUCUGAGAGGAUGAUCAGCCACAUUGGGACUGAGACACGGCCCAAACUCCUACGGGAGGCAGCAGUGGGGAAUCUUGCGCAAUGGGCGAAAGCCUGACGCAGCCAUGCCGCGUGAAUGAUGAAGGUCUUAGGAUUGUAAAAUUCUUUCACCGGGGACGAUAAUGACGGUACCCGGAGAAGAAGCCCCGGCUAACUUCGU